Molecule: long non-coding RNA, 18829 nt
Filed under: Triticum aestivum (bread wheat)
Lineage: Eukaryota; Viridiplantae; Streptophyta; Magnoliopsida; Poales; Poaceae
Description: long non-coding RNA (TAES_LNC024915)
Source: RNAcentral
UGAGAUCAUCUUAUAAUGCUACCGUCAAUCAAAGCAAGAUAAGAUGCAUAAAGGAUUAACAUCACAUGCAAUCAAUAUAAGUGAUAUGAUAUGGCCAUCAUCAUCUUGUGCUUGUGAUCUCCAUCUCCGAAGCACCGUGCUUGUGAUCUCCAUCUCCGAAGCACCGUCAUGAUCACCAUCGUCAACGGCGCGACACCUUGAUCUCCAUCGUAGUAUCGUUGUCGUCUCGCCAACUAAUUGCUUUUACGACUAUCGCUACCGCUUAGUGAUAAAGUAAAACUAUUACAUGGCGAUUGCAUUUCAUACAAUAAAGCGACAACCAUAUGGCUCCUGCUAGUUGCCGAUAACUCGGUUACAAAACAUGAUCAUCUCAUACAACAAAUUAUAUCACAUCAUGUCUUGACCAUAUCACAUCACAACAUGCCCUGCAAAAACAAGUUAGACGUCCUCUACUUUGUUGUUGCAUGUUUUACGUGGCUGCUAUGGGCUUAGCAAGAACCGUUCUUACCUACGCAUCAAAACCACAACGAUAGUUUGUCAAGUUGGUGCUGUUUUAACCUUCGCAAGGACCGGGCGUAGCCACACUCGGUUCAACUAAAGUGAGAGAGACAGACACCCGCCAGCCACCUUUAAGCAACGAGUGCUCCGAACGGUGAAACCAGUCUUGCGUAAGCGUACGCGUAAUGUCGGUCCGGGCCGCUUCAUCUCACAAUACCGCUGAACCAAAGUAUGACAUGCUGGUAAGCAGUAUGACUUAUAUCGCCCACAACUCACUUGUGUUCUACUCGUGCUUAGCAUCAACGCAUAAAACCUGGCUCGGAUGCCACUGUUGGGGAACGUAGUAAUUUCAAAAAAAUUCCUACGCACACGCAAGAUCAUGGUGAUGCAUAGCAACGAGAGGGGAGAGUGAUGUCCACGUACCCUCGUAGACCGACAGCGGAAGCGUUAUCACAACGCGGUUGAUGUAGUCGUACGUCUUCACGAUCCGACCGAUCAAGUACCGAACGCACGACACCUCCGAGUUCUACACACGUUCAGCUCGAUGACGUCCCUCGAACUCCGAUCCAGCCGAGUGUUGAGGGAGAGUUUCAUCAGCACGACGGCGUGGUGACGAUGAUGAUGUUCCACCGACGCAGGGCUUCGCCUAAGCUCCGCAACGGUAUUAUCGAGGUGUAAUAUGGUGGAGGGGGGCACCGCACACGGCUAAAAUAUCGUAUAUCAAGUGUGUCUAGAGGUGCCCCCCUGCCCUCGUAUAUAAAGGAGCAAGGGGGAGGCCGGCUGCCCUAAGUGCGCCAAGGAGAGGGGGGGAGUCCUCCUCCUAGUAGGAGUAGGACUCCCCUUUCCUAGUCCAACUAUGAAAAGAAGGGGGGAAGGAAAGAGAGGGAGAGGGAGAGGGAAAGGGGGCUGCGCCCCCCUCUCCUAGUCCAACUAGGAUUCCUCCUGGGAGGGGGCGCACCACCUCCUGGCUGCUGCCCUCUCUCUCCCCUCAAGGCCCACUAAGGCCCAAUACUUCCCCGGGGGGGUUCCGGUAACCCUCCGGCACUCCAGUUUAAUCCGAAACUUCUCCGGAACACUUCCGGUGUCCGAAUAUAGUCGUCCAAUAUAUCAAUCUUUAUGUCUCGACCAUUUCGAGACUCCUCGUCGUGUCCGUGAUCACAUCCGGGACUCCGAACAACCUUCGGUACAUCAAAACUUCGGGUUCGAGAACUAUGUAGACAUGACCGAGACACCUCUCCGGUCAAUAACCAAUAGCGGAACCUGGAUGCUCAUAUUGGUUCCCACAUAUUCUACGAAGAUCUUUAUCGGUCAAACUGCAUAACAACAUACGUUGUUCCCUUUGUCAUCGGUAUGUUACUUGCCCGAGAUUCGAUCGUCGGUAUCUCGAUACCUAGUUCAAUCUCGUUACCGGCAAGUCUCUUUACUCGUCCCGUAAUACAUCAUCCCGCAACUAACUUAUUAGUCACAAUGCUUGCAAGGCUUAUAGUGAUGUGCAUUACCGAGUGGGCCCAGAGAUACCUCUCCGACAAUCGGAGUGACAAAUCCUAAUCUCGAAAUACGCCAACCCAACAAGUACCUUUGGAGACACCUGUAGAGCACCUUUAUAAUCACCCAUUUACGUUGUGACGUUUGGUAGCACACAAAGUGUUCCUCCGGUAAACGGGAGUUGCAUAAUCUCAUAGUCAUAGGAACAUGUAUAAGUCAUGAAGAAAGCAAUAGCAACAUACUAAACGAUCGGGUGCUAAGCUAACGGAAUGGGUCAUGUCAAUCACGUCAUUCUCCUAAUGAGGUGAUCCCGUUAAUCAAAUGACAACUCAUGUCUAUGGCUAGGAAACAUAACCAUCUUUGAUUAACGAGCUAGUCAAGUAGAGGCAUACUAGUGACACUCUGUUUGUCUAUGUAUUCACACAUGUAUUAUGUUUCCGGUUAAUACAAUUCUAGCAUGAAUAAUAAACAUUUAUCAUGAUAUAAGGAAAUAUAUAAUACUUUAUUAUUGCCUCUAGGACAUAUUUCCUUCAGGAAAGAAGGUUAAUCCUUUCUUACCCGCAAAAAUAAAAUAAAAUAAAAUAAAAUAAAAUAUUCCUUCCUUUCCCUUGUUACCACGGUGAUAAAGGAUUUUUUUUCUUAAUAAUUUGUUUCCUUUUUCUUCUUCCCGUUCUUAUUCUUCUUCUUGUUCCACAAAUACUUGUGUUAACUUAGCAUAAGAUAGCUGACCACACAUGUCAUGUGGUAAUUCGUUUCCUUAGCGAGGCUGUGGACUUAUGGAAAGAAUAUUAAUCCUUCCUUUCUCCAGUCACCACAACUACGAGGGUGUUUGUUUCCAGGGACUUAUUGGUUUAGGGACUUAAAAAAGUCCCUAUAAGUCUCAUCUAAACCAAACAGGAGGGACUUAUAGGGACUUAAAGUGGUGAUUUGGGACUUAUCAAAAAAGACUCUCAGGGAGGAACUUAUAGGGACUUUUCCAUCGAUUCCCCCUGCCCCGCACCUACCUUAUCGCUUCCCCGCAUCGCUCCUUCCCCGCAUCCCCGCUUCGCUACUUCCCCGCACCCUGCUCCAAUCGCCGCCGCUGCCGCCAGUACCCUGAACCGCCGCUGCCAUGGCCGACGAUGAGGAGGACCGGAUCCCCUUCUUCUCUCAGUUCCCCUCGCAUCAUCAGGCAUCCCGGGGCUCAUCCGCCGGCGGAAAUCUCGGGAGGGGAAUGGGAUUCUUGGAUCUCAACAACAACGUCGACGACUUCAAGGAGUUGGGCUCGUACCAGCAACUCCUCCUCGACCAGUCGGCCGGUCAUGGUCUUCCUCCUAGUGGACCUGGUCGUGGGAGGCCCGUGUCCCAGGGUGGAGGAGGCCGCACCCGGUCUCUGAACAUCGGAGGCCGAGCCGGCUCUCACCUGCGUCUGUUCGUUGCCUCAGGCGCAGCUGUCGUUGAGGGAAGUGUCAUAGGGCGUGGGAGGACCAUGUCGCAGGUCACCGGACGCGGUGUAGGUCGAGCCCAUGGGUCCUCAUCGGCCGACAGUAGAGGAAAAGCUGCGGGGAAGCAACGUGUGUCGUCAACUGCUGCGUCUUCAGAAGAUGUCGAUGAGAAUGAAGGCUUUGAAGAUGAAGAUGACAACAGUGCUUUUGGAGAGGUAAAUUUCUAAUUGGUAUACAUAGUUAGCUUUCUGUCACGGUGUGCAAAUUCAUCUUCUUUUUGUGCUAGCUAAUUGUGUGUACAAUGGUAUACCUUGGUGUAGAAUUUGAACCAGCUUGAUUCUACUUCUGUUUGAAUUGUGUACUUGUUAUUUUUUGUUUAGAAAAACAUUGCCAAGGCUGAUUGGACAAACGAGCAUAUUACUGUAUUUUGUAACAUCGCCUGUGAGGAAGCUAGGGAUGGGCACUAUGUGAAUGGUGUUUGGACAAGUAGAGCCUACAAUAACAUGAAGAAAAAAAUUAUCAGCGUGCUUGCCUCCUCCAUACUACCAAGCAAUUCAAAAAUUGCAUAACUAGACUCAAGAGCUACUAUACUGCUUGGGUGUGGUUGGGGCAGCAAACUGGUUGUGGCCGAACUGGAGAUGGAGCUAUAACCGCAUCGAAUGAGUGGUGGAAAAAAAUAAUUAAGGUACAUACAUUAUUCUGCAAAUUACAUCUGAAUUGCUCACACUUGGUUACAUUAUUUAGCCUUGUCCUAAUUACCUAACUAAUGUUGCAGGAUAGACCAGAUGUCAGAAAAUUCAAGGGUGGCAAUCCUGAGUAUUUGGAUAUGCUAAUAGAGCUAUUUCAAGGUGUGGCAGUUGAUGGAUCAUCAACUUAUGUGCCCAUAGAUGAAGAUGAAGAAGAAUAUGUUGUUGCCGAUGAUGGAAAUGAGGAGAGUCCAAUGAGCACCACCAGCAGGAAGAGGGGAAGCAGCGGCGGUGAAUAGUCAGCUUAAGGCCCAGGCAAGAAACACAAGAGCCCAAUGGUGAAACUAAUGACAGGGCUCAUCAAUACUAUGACUAGUGAGAACACUUCUAACAUGAUCACUGAAUAUGCAAACAAAAGGCAGGAAGCAAAGGACAAGGCAAAAGAGAAGAAAGCAAACAACACUAAGGAAUCCAUUACUCAUUAUCAACUGUUGGCAGUUCAAUGUGGUGCAGAAGAAACAAGUGUUGAGUACUUCAUGGCAACUCAACUGUUUGCAGAUGAGGCAAACAGAGUCAUAUUUCAGAACAUUUCAAGUGAUGAGGCUAGAUUGACUUGGUUGAAGAGGUGGUGCAUGAUGAAGAAGUUGUACUAGUGUAGUAGUGAUCUUGUUUGUCCUUUUUCUAAUAUAUGUAAUGGACCUGUACUGUGUGACCUUGUUAAAUGAUCAUUGCAUGUUAGUGUAUUUCAUAAUGUUUGCAUGUACUAAUGUUUUCAAGUUGAAGAGGUGGUGCAUGAUGAAGAAGUUGUACUAAUGUUUGCAUGUUUCAGGAUGAUGACAACAGUGUUGAUGGAAUCAGCAGUGAUGAUGGGAGCAGCAGUGAUGAUGAAGCACUGAUGUUGUUCAUGCACCAAAAAAGGAAGAGAAGAAUGAUGCAGAUGGCCUGCAUGAUUGGUAUGUACUACUUGGACUCUUACUGUAACAAAGGGCCUAGAAGAGUACCAAUAGAGUUUGGGCAUGAUUGGGUUAUGACUGUUGGAAAUAUGCCCUAGAGGCAAUAAUAAAUGGUUAUUAUUAUAUUUCUUUGUUCAUGGUAAUUGUCUAUUGUUCAUGCUAUAAUUGUGUUAUCCGGAAAUCGUAAUACAUGUGUGAAUACAUAGACCACAACGUGUCCCUGGUAAGCCUCUAGUUGACUAGCUCGUUGAUCAACAGAUAGUCAUGGUUUCCUGACUAUGGACAUUGGAUGUCAUUGAUAACGGGAUCACAUCAUUAGGAGAAUGAUGUGAUGGACAAGACCCAAUCCUAAGCAUAGCAUAAAGAUCGUGUAGUUUCGUUUGCUAGAGCUUUUCCAAUGUCAAGUAUCUUUUCCUUAGACCAUGAGAUCGUGCAACUCCCGGAUAUCGUAGGAGUGCUUUGGGUGUGCCAAACGUCACAACGUAACUGGGUGACUAUAAAGGUGCACUACGGGUAUCUCCGAAAGUGUCUGUUGGGUUGGCACGGAUCGAGACUGGGAUUUGUCACUCCGUGUGACGGAGAGGUAUCUCUGGGCCCACUCGGUAAUGCAUCAUCAUAAUGAGCUCAAUGUGACUAAGGCGUUAGUCACGGGAUCAUGCAUUGCAGUACGAGUAAAGAGACUUGCCGAUAACGAGAUUGAACAAGGUAUUGGGAUACCGACGAUCGAAUCUCGGGCAAGUAACUUACCGAUUGACAAAGGGAAUUGUAUACGGGAUUGAUUGAAUCCUCGACAUCGUGGUUCAUCCGAUGAGAUCAUCGUGGAACAUGUGGGAGCCAACAUGGGUAUCCAGAUCCCGCUGUUGGUUAUUGACCGGAGAGGCGUCUCGGUCAUGUCUGCAUGUCUCCCGAACCCGUAGGGUCUACACACUUAAGGUUCGGUGACGCUAGGGUUGUAGAGAUAUGUGUAUGCGGAAACCCGAAAGUUGUUCGGAGUCCCGGAUGAGAUCCCGAACGUCGCGAGGAGUUCCGGAAUGGUCCGGAGGUGAAGAAUUAUAUAUAGGAAGUCCAGUUUCGACCACCGGGAAAGUUUCGGGGGUUACCGGUAUUGUACCGGGACCACCGGAAGGGUCCCGGGGGUCCACCGGGUGGGGCCACCUAUCCCGGAGGACCCCGUGGGCUGAAGUGGGAAGGGAACCAGCCCCUAGUGGGCUGGGGCGCCCCCCAUGGGCCUCCCCCCUGCGCCUAGGGUUGGAAACCCUAGGGUGGGGGGGCGCCCCACUUGGCUUGGGGGGAAGCCACCCCCCCUUUCCCCUUGGCCGCCGCCCCCCACCCUAGAUGGGUCUUGGCCGGCGCCCCCCCUCCCAGGGGGCCUAUAUAAAGGGGGGGAGGGAGGGCAGCAACUUGACAGCCUUGGGCGCCUCCCUCCUCCCCUGCAACACCUCUCCCUCUCGCAGAAGCUCGGCGAAGCCCUGCCGAGACCCGCUACAUCCACCACCACGCCGUCGUGCUGCUGGAUCUCCAUCAACCUCUCCUUCCCCCUUGCUGGAUCAAGAAGGAGGAGACGUCGCUUCACCGUACGCGUGUUGAACGCGGAGGUGCCGUCCGUUCGGCACUCGGUCAUCGGUGAUUUGAAUCACGGCGAGUACGACUCCGUCAUCCACGUUCAUUGGAACGCUUCCGCUCGCGAUCUACAAGGGUAUGUAGAUGCACUCCUUUCCCCUCGUUGCUAGUAUACUCCAUAGAUGCAUCUUGGUGAGCGUAGGAAAAUUUUAAAAUUAUGCUACGAUUCCCAACAGUGGCAUCAUGAGCCAGGCCUAUGCGUAGUUACUAUGCACGAGUAGAACACAAAGUAGUUGUGGGCGUUGAUGUUGCCAAUUCUUCUUGCCGCUACUAGUCCUAUCUUGUUUCGGCGGUAUUGUAGGAUGAAGCGGCCCGGACCGACCUUACACGUACGCUUACGUGAGACUGGUUCCACCGACUGACAUGCACUAGUUGCAUAAGGUGGCUAGCGGGUGUCUGUCUCUCCUACUUUAGUCGGAACGGAUUCGAUGAAAAGGGUCCUUAUGAAGGGUAAAUAGAAAUUGGCAAAUCACGUUGUGGUCAUACGUAGGUAAGAAACGUUCUUGCUAGAAACCUACAAACCACGUAAAAUUUGCAACAACAAUUAGAGGACGUCUAACUUGUUUUUGCAGCAAGUGCUAUGUGAUGUGAUAUGGCCAGAAGAUGUGAUGAAUGAUAUAUGUGAUGUAUGAGAUUGAUCAUAUUCUUGUAAUAGGAAUCACGACUUGCAUGUCGAUGAGUAUGACAACCGGCAGGAGCCAUAGGAGUUGUCUUUAUUAUUUUGUAUGACCUGCGUGUCAUUGAAUAACGCCAUGUAAAUUACUUUACUUUGUUGCUAAACGCGUUAGCCAUAGAAGUAGAAGUAAUCGUUGGCGUGACGACUUCAUGAAGACACAGUGAUGGAGAUCAUGGUGUCAUGCCGGUGACGAAGAUGAUCAUGGUGCCCCGAAGAUGGAGAUCAAAGGAGCAAAAUGAUAUUGGCCAUAUCAUGUCACUAUUUGAUUGCAUGUGAUGUUUAUCAUGUUUUUGCAUCUUAUUUGCUUAGAACGACGGUAGUAAGUAAGAUGAUCCCUUAUAAUAAUUUCAAGAAAGUGUUCACCCUAACUGUGCACCGUUGCGAAGGUUCGUUGUUUCGAAGCACCACGUGAUGAUCGGGUGUGAUAGAUUCUAACGUUCGCAUACAACGGGUGUUGACGAGCCUAGCAUGUACAGACAUGGCCUCGGAACACACGCAAUACACUUAGGUUGACUUGAUGAGCCUAGCAUGUACAGACAUGGCCUCGGAAUACGGAGGACCGAAAGGUCGAGCAUGAGUCAUAUAGAAGAUACGAUCAACAUGGAGAUGUUCACCGAUCUUGACUAGUCCGUCUCACGUGAUGAUCGGACACGGCCUAGUUAACUCGGAUCAUGUUUCACUUUUAUGACUAGAGGGAUGUCUAUCUGAGUGGGAGUUCAUUGAGUAAUUUGAUUAAAUGAACUUAAUUAUCAUGAACUUAGUCUAAAAUCUUUACACUAUGUCUUGUAGAUCAAAUGGCCAACGUUGUCCUCAAUUUCAACGCGUUCCUAGAGAAAACCAAGCUGAAAGAUGAUGGCAGCAACUAUACGGACUGGGUCCGGAACCUGAGGCUCAUCCUCAUAGUAGCCAAGAAAGAUUAUGUCUUAGAAGCACCGCUAGGUGAAGCACCAAUCCCAGAGAACCAAGACGUUAUGAACGCUUGGCAAACACGUGCUGAUGAUUACUCCCUCGUUCAGUGCGGCAUGCUUUACAGCUUAGAACCGGGUCUCCAAAAGCGUUUUGAGAAACAUGGAGCAUAUGAGAUGUUCGAGGAGCUGAAAAUGGUUUUCCAAGCUCAUGCCCGGGUCGAGAGAUAUGAUGUCUCCGACAAGUUCUUCAGCUGUAAAAUGGAGGAGAACAGUUCUGUUAGUGAGCACAUACUCAGAAUGUCUGGGUUGCACAACCGCUUGACUCAGCUGGGAGUUAAUCUCCCGGAUGACGCGGUCAUUGACAGAAUCCUCCAGUCGCUUCCACCAAGCUACAAGAGCUUUGUGAUGAACUUCAAUAUGCAGGGGAUGGAAAAGACCAUUCCUGAGGUAUAUUCAAUGCUGAAAUCAGCGGAGGUGGAGAUCAGAAAAGAACAUCAAGUGUUGAUGGUGAAUAAAACCACUAAGUUCAAGAAGGGCAAGGGUAAGAAGAACUUCAAGAAGGACGGCAAGGGAGUUGCCGCGCCCGGUAAGCCAGUUACUGGGAAGAAGUUGAAGAAUGGACCCAAGCCUGAAACUGAGUGCUUUUAUUGCAAGGGAAGUGGUCACUGGAAGCGGAACUGCCCCAAAUACUUACCGGACAAGAAGGCCGGCAACACCAAAGGUAUAUGUGAUAUACAUGUAAUUGAUGUGUACCUUACCAGUACUCGUAGUAGCUCCUGGGUAUUUGAUACCGGUGCGGUUGCUCAUAUUUGUAACUCAAAACAGGAACUACGGAAUAAACGGAGACUGGCGAAGGACGAGGUGACGAUGCGCGUCGGGAAUGGUUCCAAGGUCGAUGUGAUCGCCGUCGGCACGCUACCUCUGCAUCUACCUACAGGAUUAGUUUUAAACCUCAAUAAUUGUUAUUUAGUGCCAGCUUUGAGCAUGAACAUUGUAUCUGGAUCUCGUUUAAUUCGAGAUGGCUACUCAUUUAAAUCCGAGAAUAAUGGUUGUUCUAUUUAUUUGAGAGAUAUGUUUUAUGGUCAUGCCCCGCUGGUCAAUGGUUUAUUCUUGAUGAAUCUCGAACGUGAUGUUACACAUAUUCAUAGUGUGAAUACCAAAAGAUGUAAAGUUGAUAAUGAUAGUCCCACAUACUUGUGGCACUGCCGCCUUGGUCACAUUGGUGUCAAGCGCAUGAAGAAGCUCCAUGCAGAUGGACUUUUGGAGUCUCUUGAUUACGAAUCAUUUGACACGUGCGAACCAUGCCUCAUGGGUAAGAUGACCAAGACUCCGUUCUCCGGAACAAUGGAGCGAGCAACCAACUUAUUGGAAAUCAUACAUACCGAUGUGUGCGGUCCAAUGAGUGUUGAGGCUCGCGGAGGAUAUCGUUAUGUUCUCACUCUCACUGAUGACUUAAGUAGAUACGGGUAUGUCUACCUAAUGAAACACAAGUCUGAAACCUUUGAAAAGUUCAAGGAAUUUCAGAGUGAGGUUGAGAAUCAACGUGACAGGAAAAUAAAGUUCUUACGAUCAGAUCGUGGUGGAGAAUAUUUAAGUCACGAAUUUGGUACACACUUAAGGAAAUGUGGAAUAGUUUCACAACUCACGCCGCCUGGAACACCUCAGAGAAAUGGUGUGUCCGAACGUCGUAAUCGCACUCUAUUGGAUAUGGUGCGAUCUAUGAUGUCUCUUACCGAUUUACCGCUCUCAUUUUGGGGCUAUGCUUUAGAGACUGCCGCAUUCACUUUAAAUAGGGCUCCGUCGAAAUCCGUUGAGACGACACCGUAUGAAUUAUGGUUUGGGAAGAAACCUAAGCUGUCGUUUCUAAAAGUUUGGGGAUGCGAUGCUUAUGUCAAGAAACUUCAACCUGAAAAGCUCGAACCCAAGUCGGAAAAAUGCGUCUUCAUAGGUUACCCUAAGGAAACUAUUGGGUAUACCUUCUACCUCAGAUCCGAAGGCAAGAUCUUCGUUGCCAAGAACGGGUCCUUUCUAGAGAAGGAGUUUCUCUCGAAAGAAUUGAGUGGGAGGAAAGUGGAACUUGAUGAGGUGAUAGUCACCCCUUCCGAACCGGAAAGUAGCGCAGCGCGGGAAGAUGUUCCUGUGGUGCCUACACCGACUGGAGAGGAAGUUAAUGAUGAUGAUCAUGAAGCUUCGGAUCAAGUUACUACUGAACCUCGUAGGUCCACAAGGACACGUUCCGCACCAAAGUGGUACGGCAACCCUGUCCUAGAAAUCAUGUUGUUAGACAAUGGUGAACCUUCGAACUAUGAAGAAGCGAUGGCGGGACCGGAUUCCGACAAAUGGCUAGAAGCCAUGAAAUCCGAGAUAGGAUCCAUGUAUGAAAACAAAGUAUGGACUUUGACUGACUUGCCCGAUGAUCGGCGAGCCAUAGAAAACAAAUGGAUCUUUAAGAAGAAGACAGAAUCGGAUGGUAAUGUGACCAUCUAUAAGGCUCGACUUGUCGCUAAGGGUUAUCGACAAGUUCAAGGGGUUGACUACGAUGAGACUUUCUCACCCGUAGCGAAGCUGAAGUCCGUCCGAAUCAUGUUAGCAAUUGCCGCAUACUAUGAUUAUGAGAUAUGGCAGAUGGACGUCAAAACGACAUUCCUUAACGGCUUCCUUAAGGAAGAGUUGUAUAUGAUGCAGCCGGAAGGUUUUGUCGAUCCUAAGAAUGCUAACAAAGUAUGCAAGCUCCAGCGCUCAAUCUAUGGGCUGGUGCAAGCAUCUCGGAGUUGGAACAUUCUCUUUGAUGAGAUGAUCAAAGCGUUUGGGUUUACACAGACUUAUGGAGAAGCCUGUGUUUACAAGAAAGUGAGUGGGAGCUCUGUAGCAUUUCUCUUAUUAUAUGUGGAUGACAUAUUAUUGAUGGGAAAUGAUAUAGAAUUCUUGGAAAGUAUAAAGGCCUAUUUGAAUAAGUGUUUUUCAAUGAAGGACCUUGGAGAAGCUGCUUAUAUAUUAGGCAUCAAGAUCUAUAGAGAUAGAUCAAGACGCCUCAUUGGUCUUUCGCAGAGUACAUACCUUGACAAGAUAUUGAAGAAGUUCAAUAUGGAUCAGUCCAAGAAGGGGUUCUUGCCUGUAUUGCAAGGUGUGCAAUUGAGCACGGCUCAAUGCCCGACCACGGCAGAAGAUAGAGAAAAGAUGAGUGUCAUCCCCUAUGCCUCGGCCAUAGGGUCUAUUAUGUAUGCCAUGCUGUGUACCAGACCUGAUGUAAACCUUGCCGUAAGUUUGGUAGGAAGGUACCAAAGUAAUCCCGGCAUGGAACACUGGACAGCGGUCAAGAAUAUCCUGAAGUACCUGAAAAGGACUAAGGAUAUGUUUCUCGUUUAUGGAGGUGACGAAGAGCUCGUCGUAAAGGGUUACGUCGACGCUAGCUUCGACACAGAUCUGGAUGACUCGAAGUCACAAACCGGAUACGUGUAUAUUUUGAAUGGAGGAGCAGUAAGCUGGUGCAGUUGCAAGCAAAGCGUCGUGGCGGGAUCUACAUGUGAAGCGGAGUACAUGGCAGCCUCGGAGGCAGCACAGGAAGCAGUCUGGAUGAAGGAGUUCAUUACCGACCUAGGGGUGAUUCCCAAUGCGUCGGGCCCGAUGACUCUCUUCUGUGACAACACUGGAGCUAUUGCUUUUGCGAAGGAGCCCAGGUUUCACAGGAAGACCAGGCAUAUCAAGCGUCGCUUCAACUCCAUUCGUGAAAGUGUUCAAAAUGGAGACAUAGAUAUUUGUAAAGUACAUACGGACCUGAAUGUAGCAGAUCCGUUGACUAAACCUCUCCCUUGAGCAAAACAUGAUCAACACCAGGACGCAAUGGGUGUUCGAUUUAUCACAAUGUAACUAGAUUAUUGACUCUAGUGCAAGUGGGAGACUGUUGGAAAUAUGCCCUAGAGGCAAUAAUAAAUGGUUAUUAUUAUAUUUCUUUGUUCAUGGUAAUUGUCUAUUGUUCAUGCUAUAAUUGUGUUAUCCGGAAAUCGUAAUACAUGUGUGAAUACAUAGACCACAACGUGUCCCUGGUAAGCCUCUAGUUGACUAGCUCGUUGAUCAACAGAUAGUCAUGGUUUCCUGACUAUGGACAUUGGAUGUCAUUGAUAACGGGAUCACAUCAUUAGGAGAAUGAUGUGAUGGACAAGACCCAAUCCUAAGCAUAGCAUAAAGAUCGUGUAGUUUCGUUUGCUAGAGCUUUUCCAAUGUCAAGUAUCUUUUCCUUAGACCAUGAGAUCGUGCAACUCCCGGAUAUCGUAGGAGUGCUUUGGGUGUGCCAAACGUCACAACGUAACUGGGUGACUAUAAAGGUGCACUACGGGUAUCUCCGAAAGUGUCUGUUGGGUUGGCACGGAUCGAGACUGGGAUUUGUCACUCCGUGUGACGGAGAGGUAUCUCUGGGCCCACUCGGUAAUGCAUCAUCAUAAUGAGCUCAAUGUGACUAAGGCGUUAGUCACGGGAUCAUGCAUUGCAGUACGAGUAAAGAGACUUGCCGAUAACGAGAUUGAACAAGGUAUUGGGAUACCGACGAUCGAAUCUCGGGCAAGUAACUUACCGAUUGACAAAGGGAAUUGUAUACGGGAUUGAUUGAAUCCUCGACAUCGUGGUUCAUCCGAUGAGAUCAUCGUGGAACAUGUGGGAGCCAACAUGGGUAUCCAGAUCCCGCUGUUGGUUAUUGACCGGAGAGGCGUCUCGGUCAUGUCUGCAUGUCUCCCGAACCCGUAGGGUCUACACACUUAAGGUUCGGUGACGCUAGGGUUGUAGAGAUAUGUGUAUGCGGAAACCCGAAAGUUGUUCGGAGUCCCGGAUGAGAUCCCGGACGUCGCGAGGAGUUCCGGAAUGGUCCGGAGGUGAAGAAUUAUAUAUAGGAAGUCCAGUUUCGGCCACCGGGAAAGUUUCGGGGGUUACCGGUAUUGUACCGGGACCACCGGAAGGGUCCCGGGGGUCCACCGGGUGGGGCCACCUAUCCCGGAGGACCCCGUGGGCUGAAGUGGGAAGGGAACCAGCCCCUAGUGGGCUGGGGCACCACCCAUGGGCCUCCCCCCUGCGCCUAGGGUUGGAAACCCUAGGGUGGGGGGGCGCCCCACUUGGCUUGGGGGGAAGCCACCCCCCCUUUCCCCUUGGCCGCCGCCCCCCACCCUAGAUGGGUCUUGGCCGGCGCCCCCCCUCCCAAGGGGCCUAUAUAAAGGGGGGGAGGGAGGGCAGCAACUUGACAGCCUUGGGCGCCUCCCUCCUCCCCUGCAACACCUCCCCCUCUCGCAGAAGCUCGGCGAAGCCCUGCCGAGACCCGCUACAUCCACCACCACGCUGUCGUGCUGCUGGAUCUCCAUCAACCUCUCCUUCCCCCUUGCUGGAUCAAGAAGGAGGAGACGUCGCUGCACCGUACGUGUGUUGAACGCGGAGGUGCCGUCCGUUCGGCACUCGGUCAUCGGUGAUUUGAAUCACGGCGAGUACGACUCCGUCAUCCACGUUCAUUGGAACGCUUCCGCUCGCGAUCUACAAGGGUAUGUAGAUGCACUCCUUUCCCCUCGUUGCUAGUAUACUCCAUAGAUGCAUCUUGGUGAGCGUAGGAAAAUUUUAAAAUCAUGCUACGAUUCCCAACAAUGACAACACUAGGCAACGAAAAAGCCUGUUACAACAUGUUUAGCAUGCACAGGCCAGUGUUUGAGAAAUUGCAUAGUGUGCUUGUUGAUUCCUAUGGUUUGAAGUCCACCAAAAAAAUGUCAUCUGUUGAGUCUCUAGGCCCGUUUCUGUGGAUAGUAGGUUCCCCUCAAUAUGUUAGACAAGCAGAAAACAGAUUUGUUAGGUCAUUGGAGACAAUUGUAAGGAAAUUUGAUAAGGUUUUGGCCUGUCUGAUCAAGCUAGCAAAAGACAUCAUCAAGCCAACAGAUCGUCAAUUCAGAACUGUGCAUUCAAAAUUAAGAUCUAGAAAGUAUGCACCAUUUAUGGACAAUUGCAUUGGUGCAAUAGAUGGGACACACAUACAAGUUGUGGUACCAGUUGCCACUGCUGCCCAGCAUAGGAAUAGACAUAAGGAGAAGAGUAAGAAUGUGAUGUGUGUGUGUGACUUUGAUAUGAGAUUCACAUUUGUCCUAGCUGGUUGGCCAGGUUCAAUGCAUGACAUGAGGGUCUUCAAUGAUGCCCGAUCCAGAUUUGGUGACAAGUUUCCAAAACCACCACCUAAUAAGUUCUAUCUUGUGGACUCAGGGUACCCAAAUAGACCAGGUUAUCUUGCACCAUACAAGGGUUUAACCUAUCAUUUCCAGGAGUACCGUGAUGGCACAAUGCCUAGAGGAAAAAAGGAACACUUCAAUUUCACCCAUUCUUCACUUAGAAAUAUCAUCGAGAGGUGUUUUGGAGUCCUGAAGAACAAGUGGAGGAUUUUGUUUCACUUGCCUAGUUAUCCACAACAGAAACAAAGCAAAAUCAUUGUGGCUUGCAUUGCACUGCACAAUUUGAUUAGACAAAGUCAACUACCCGAUAUAGAGUUCGACUUGUGUGAUCAAGAUGAAAACUAUGUACCAUUGUCUAUGCCAACGACUACAACAAAUGAUUCAACAAAUGAGAUGGACAGUGCUGCUAUGAAUCAAUUCAGAGCUUGGGCCGCUGAUGGGUUGUGGUCCUUGAAACAACAAUGAUAUGAACAAGUGUUCUUCGCUUAUGUAAUCUCUGUUAUCUCGGUUGUUAUGUAAUCUCUCUUAUUUCGGUUGUUAUGAACAAGUGUUGGCACAAACAAGUGUUACUUCGUUUGUGUGAACAAGUGUUAUUUCGGUUGUCACUAUUCUGUAAUUCAUUUGUAUGAACAAGUGUUUUAUUAUUAGAGGUAACAUGGACUUAUAAGUUUAUGUAAACAAGCAAGUAGGGACUCGGGACUUAUAAGUCCCUGUAAACAAACAGGUAGGACCCGGGACUUAUAAGUUGGGGCUUAAAAAGGUCCUAAGACUUACGAAACAAUACGUUUAAUGUAUCGAGUCUAUGGCUACCACGUCAAUACAAAGAAGGAUUGGGUUUGUUUAUUAAUUGGCGGAUGGCGAAAUUAGCAAGGAACGGCCCUCCCCGGUUAACGCCUGAUCCGAACCGACCAACGCGUGGGGGAGCCAAACCGACCGAGUCUGACGCGACGCGUUGGGAAUGGAAAGGAAAGCGAACGGACGGGCGCCGAGAGCAAAGCGGCAUUAUUAUUGCUGUGGGCCCACGCGCCUCACGCGUACUAGUAUAAAAAACACCCCUGCCAGAACCGGAUCUGACCAAGGAUUUACUUGUUUCCUCCUCCUCUCUAUUCCCCUCCCCUUGAGACCACACCACAUCACAGAGGCCGCGGCGGCGCCGGCGCCGGCGCUCCCAAUGACGUCGACCACGGCGACAGAAGGCACGUUUUGCUACUUGGCUGGCUGGUAUGCAUGGUCUUUUCAGCUCCCUUGAUUGAUCUUUUGGCCAUGGUUUUCAUCUGUGUCAAUCUACCUCGCGCAGUGGUCGGACACAAGGAGCUCGGGACGGCACAUAUGUUGUGCGGUGCAAGCAACUUCUUCUCUAUUGGAUUGGAUUGGAUUGGAUUUCCGCUGGUAAGCAUAAAUUUUCACCUCCGUUGUUCCGUCGGUAUAGUUGUUGUAUCCAUCCAUCCUGCUCAUCCGUCAAUCCAAUUUUUGACGCAGAGAACACGGCAAAGACCGCCAUCCACACCACACCACAGGACGUGUCCGGCGGUCCACUGGGCCAAAGGCCAGAUCUCGGCCCAGGCUACCCCGUACGCAUGAUGUGCGCAGGCCCAACCCGCCGCCUGUGAUCCACCGGGCUCGUUAUUGGGUGGACGGGCCUGGCUAUGGAUGGAUCUGGCCCAACAGGUGCCAUCACCUCCCGACCCAGCGCCGUCUCUCUCUUUCGGGGGAGGAAAGGGCGAGAGGUCGAGGGGCGGCGGCGACGACAGCGUCGACCGGUGGCGGAGGCGGCCGCGACCACCUCAACCCCCCGUGACCAGAGGUACUUGACGCGUCUCUCCCUCUCCUUAUCCCCCCAUCAUCUCUCUCCCUAGGUCUCAUAUCUCUGUCAAACAGCCGGCCAUCAAUCCGCCAUAGCUUUUCGGGGGAACGUGGUGAGGUCGAUCUGACCGGCGGUGAUCUGUUUUGGAGGCGGCCGUCCCCAGCCCAAGCUCGUCUGCCUAAGGUACCUUACCUGCAUUUCGAGUUCCCACCCUCCCUGUAUCCUCUCUCUCUCAACAGCCCUUCAUCAAUCCGCAUCUCAAAUUUGGUUAGGUCGACGGGAAGACGGGGCUGAGGCUGCAUCUGCGGGUUAUAUCUGUUGAGGACGCUGCCUUUCUUCCAACGAAAGCUUUCUCGGAUGGCCCCCAAGGAGCAAAGACUUCACGCUGAUCUGUUCAAGGUGACCCACCAGAAGGUGGUUGAUGCCAUCAGGGCAAACAUAACUAAUCAGACCUCAUAUGAUGUAAGAUGUAAUUGUAUUAUCUUGAUUGGUUAGGAUGUUGAUUUCUUUUUCAGUUUUGCUAAAGCACAUUUAGAUGUGCCCAAGUAUUUGCACAUCUAAGUCAUACCAUUGAUUUUACAUGAAAAUUUGUGCAUACAUUUUCUUUGUCUUUUUCCUUUUUCUUUGCAGUGUGAUUUGGUCACUUACAUGUGCAAUAACUUGGGCACUAGACAAACCCUUUCUUUUUCCUGAUCAGUUUUUUAUUUAGUGUUCUUCUCUUUUUCUUACAGCAAAUUAAGAUUAUCCAACUCAGCUGCGAGCCGACAGAUGAAGAAUUGUUGAUGUUUUAUGCGGAGGUCCAUAAUCACCUAUUGGAGGUGGCUUCCCUUUCUAUCAACAAGAACGUUGAUUUCUUUGCGCCAGAGGAGGGAUUCGCGGAAGGCUUUGUUCCUGAGAUUGCAGAAGGACUACCAGUUUUAAGGCCUCAAACUAAGGUACAUUCCCCUUUUUCUGCCAAGCAUCAUGGGUCUGCCUUUCUCUGCCUAUCACCUUUCCAUCAUGGUUUGAGAUGAAUCACAAGUGAUCUUGAUUACAUAUGCAUUCAAUUGUAGUUCAAUAAAAGUAAUUUUUACAAUGCUUUUGAACAGUUUUUAACUUUCUUGCAAAUGAUUUGGUUUUAAUGGAAGUUUUGUCUUUGUGUGCAGAAUAUAUCAUAUUUCAUUGUCGAGUUUGUUGGUGGUCCUGGAGAACCACGCCUGCAAUUUGCUGUUCGCCAUGACAAUCUGUACUGUGUCGGUUUCCGGGUGUUGUCUGCCAAUGAUAACGCAAAAACCAAAGAUUGGUCCUCUUUUGGUGAUGUUAACCUUUUGAAGUGUGCUGCAUUUCCUAAUGUUGAGGCAUCUAGAUUGUCAGAGAGCUAUAAAUCUUCGUAAGUUUGUGCUUGUCCUGUAAUUCCUUAUUUGAACAAAGUUUGGAGCAAUUGUCAUGUUUAUAGAUUUUGCUUUAGUUGUUAAUAAAUUUUGCACUUGUUUCAUUUUUCAGCAAAUCAGUGCGAAUAUACCCCAUGGUUUUCCGACGAAUAUAUAUGUACUUCUCCAAAUACACUUGCAAUUCUGCUGUAGCUGUUGGGGAAUUGUUAAAAGACACAUUGUUUGUUGUUAUCUGUGAGGCAAGUCGCUUUGGGUUUGUCCAAAGGUUGACUUUUCAAGGAAUGCAUGCUUUCGAAGUUCCGGUUGGACUCACUGAUUUGAUGGAUAAUAUUAUUCAUGAUUACAAGGAUUUGUCAUUAGGGGCACUGUUGAUAUAUCUGUAUGACCUAGAAGAGAAAUUGAGCGUGGCUGAGAGAUCACGCUACCAAACUGAAGAUCAACUAGCAGCUGCACUAGUUGGAUUCAACAGUUACGCUCUGCAUGUGAAUCUCAGGGGAUCUGAUGGUCUUUAUGCUCCGAUGUUCGAUAGUGAGGUUGUUAGGCUUAUCCAUAUGAGGCUUCGGAACUUUGACAAAAAUAUCCGCAAGUAAGUCCCGUCCCUCUCUGUUGUAUGUCCUUUGCAUUUCUAAGUUGGUUGUUCUAAUCUGCUGUCUACGUGCAGAUUGACUGAUGUUUCUUAUUGAUUGCUGCUGAUUUGCUGAGAAAUGGCUCCUGAUGAUGAUUCAAUCUUUAUUCCAAGUUAUCCAUAUGAGGCUUUUGAAGUUUAAUCUCUGGUGCUGUGUUGUCCCUCCCUCAUAUCAAUUGCUUUGAAAUGGCUCCUUAUGAUGAUUCAAUCUUGAUGAUGGCCUCUGCUUCUUGAUGGCCGUUUUCUAUGAUGUCCCUGCUUCUUCCUGAUGGUAGCCCAUGUGAUUUUGGCUGCUGUAGAUGACACUGGCCUUGUUAUUUGUUCAUUUUGUCCUUUCUCAGACAGUGGCUUUGCCGUUUUUGAGCUUGUGGCUGAUACUCCUUAGGCUAUAGUUUACUGAAGUAGAAUUUCGUCAUGCCUGUGCUCAGUGUAUUUUUUGUUGAUUGUGCCUUGUGUACCAUGGAAUUGCUGGCUGAUACUGCCUUGGGCUGCUAGUUUACUGAAGUAGCAUUCCUCUAUGCUCAGUGUAAUGUUGUUGCUACUCACUGAAAAGCUCACUUUAUCAUUUCUGGGUAGCCUGAGGAUAAUGAAAUAC